GCCAGGCGUGGUGGCACACGCCUGUAAUCCCAGCAGCUGGGGAGGCUGAGACAGGAGAAUCACAGGUUCAAAGCCAGCCUCAGCAACGGCAAAGUACAAAGUAACUCAAUGAGACUGUCUCUA
Molecule: small RNA, 123 nt
Filed under: Marmota monax (woodchuck)
Lineage: Eukaryota; Metazoa; Chordata; Mammalia; Rodentia; Sciuridae
Source: RNAcentral